CAGUCGCCGCGGGAAUACGUAGGGGGCAAGCGUUAUCCGGAAUUAUUGGGCGUAAAGAGUGCGUAGGUGGUCUACUAAGCGCGAGGUGAAAGGCAAUGGCUCAACCAUUGUUAGCCUUGCGAACUGGCAGACUUGAGUGCAAGAGAGGAAAGCGGAAUUCCUAGUGUAGCGGUGAAAUGCGCAGAUAUUAGGAGGAACACCGGCGGCGAAGGCGGCUUUCUGGAUUGUAACUGACACUGAGGCACGAAAGCGUGGGUAGCAAACAGGAUUAGAUACCCGCGUAGUCCCUGUCUCUUAUACA
This 301-nucleotide ribosomal RNA is filed under the name uncultured bacterium. RNAcentral's name for it is "partial 16S ribosomal RNA". It matches the Rfam family "Bacterial small subunit ribosomal RNA", at positions 509 to 808 of the family's 1533-position model. The record is from RNAcentral.